CCUACGGGAGGCUGCAGUGGGGAAUAUUGGACAAUGGGGGGAACCCUGAUCCAGCCAUGCCGCGUGUGUGAAGAAGGCCCUCGGGUUGUAAAGCACUGUCAGUGAGGAAGAACGCCUGGUGGUUAAUACCCAUCAGGAAAGACAUCACUCACAGAAGAAGCACCGGCUAACUCCGUGCCAGCAGCCGCGGUAAUACGGAGGGUGCGAGCGUUAAUCGGAAUUACUGGGCGUAAAGCGCGCGUAGGUGGCUUGAUAAGCCGGUUGUGAAAGCCCCGGGCUCAACCUGGGAACGGCAUCCGGAACUGUCAAGCUAGAGUGCAGGAGAGGAAGGUAGAAUUCCCGGUGUAGCGGUGAAAUGCGUAGAGAUCGGGAGGAAUACCAGUGGCGAAGGCGGCCUUCUGGACUGACACUGACACUGAGGUGCGAAAGCGUGGGUAGCAAACAGGAUUAGAUACCCCGGUAGUC
This 465-nucleotide ribosomal RNA is filed under the name Vreelandella stevensii. RNAcentral describes it as "partial 16S ribosomal RNA". It matches the Rfam family "Bacterial small subunit ribosomal RNA", at positions 338 to 795 of the family's 1533-position model. Lineage: Bacteria; Pseudomonadati; Pseudomonadota; Gammaproteobacteria; Oceanospirillales; Halomonadaceae. The record is from RNAcentral.